AGGAUGAACGCUGGCGGCGUGCCUAAAACAUGCAAGUCAUACGGUCUAUCUUCGGGUAGACAGUGGCAAACGGGUGAGUAACACGUGGGAACACGCCUUCGAGUGGGGAAUAACGCUGAGAAAUCAGUGCUAAUACCGCAUAUGGUCUAACGACUAAAGCAGUAAUGCGCUCGGAGAGUGGCCCGCGUCCGAUUAGCUAGUUGGUGGGGUAAUGGCCUACCAAGGCGGUGAUCGGUAGCUGGU
RNAcentral lists this ribosomal RNA (243 nucleotides) under uncultured bacterium. RNAcentral's name for it is "partial small subunit ribosomal RNA". It matches the Rfam family "Bacterial small subunit ribosomal RNA", at positions 26 to 291 of the family's 1533-position model. The record is from RNAcentral.